RNAcentral lists this unclassified non-coding RNA (387 nucleotides) under Hevea brasiliensis (rubber tree). The record is from RNAcentral. Lineage: Eukaryota; Viridiplantae; Streptophyta; Magnoliopsida; Malpighiales; Euphorbiaceae.
GUUAAAACAUACAAUAGUUAAUUUAAAGUCAAGCAACAUAUGUAAAAAGUUAUAUGCAGGAAAAUUAGGUCACUAGUUGGUUUGUUAGGGUAAUUAGCAUGAUCAAGAGGAUCAUAUUUUCUAAAUAAAUUCUGACGAAAGCUCCAUAUGUGAGUCUCUGUCUCACGCAAUUACGCGUCUCUUUGGAGACUUGGUUUAAGCCUUGGCCUUUUUUCAUCUCAUUUUUGCUCUCUGAGAGCAACUGAUAUUAUAUCAUGGAGUGGGUCUCUCUGGAACUCACACGAAUUUCCUGCAGAGAUCUCAAAGCCUUCAAUUUCUUCCAGAAGCUAUCGGUCUAUGCAGAGGUCUACGCUUCUAAUGAUGAAUUAACGAAGAAGAAGAAGAAGA